GGAGAGGUGCUGGAGUGGUUGAACAGGCUGGUCUCGAAAACCAGUGUACCUUCUGGGUACCGUGGGUUCGAAUCCCACCCUCUCCGCCA
Molecule: transfer RNA, 89 nt
Filed under: Gemmatimonadota bacterium
Lineage: Bacteria; Pseudomonadati; Gemmatimonadota
Description: Gemmatimonadetes bacterium tRNA-Ser
Rfam family: tRNA
About the family: Transfer RNA (tRNA) molecules are approximately 80 nucleotides in length.
Source: RNAcentral